RNAcentral lists this transfer RNA (77 nucleotides) under Verrucomicrobiota bacterium. Its description in RNAcentral is "tRNA-Asp". It matches the Rfam family "tRNA". From Rfam's summary of the family: Transfer RNA (tRNA) molecules are approximately 80 nucleotides in length. Their secondary structure includes four short double-helical elements and three loops (D, anti-codon, and T loops). Lineage: Bacteria; Pseudomonadati; Verrucomicrobiota. RNAcentral also lists the same sequence under 1 other name. The record is from RNAcentral.
GGAGCGGUAGCUCAAUUGGUUAGAGCGCUGCCCUGUCACGGCAGAGGUCGCGGGUUCGAGUCCCGUCCGCUCCGCCA